GGCUCGUUGGUCAAGAGGUUAAGACACCGCCCUUUCACGGCGGUAACAGGGGUUCAAUUCCCCUACCCGCUCCA
RNAcentral lists this transfer RNA (74 nucleotides) under Clostridioides difficile. Its description in RNAcentral is "tRNA-Glu". It matches the Rfam family "tRNA". Rfam says of the family: Transfer RNA (tRNA) molecules are approximately 80 nucleotides in length. Their secondary structure includes four short double-helical elements and three loops (D, anti-codon, and T loops). Further hydrogen bonds mediate the characteristic L-shaped molecular structure. tRNAs have two regions of fundamental functional importance: the anti-codon, which is responsible for specific mRNA codon recognition, and the 3' end, to which the tRNAs corresponding amino acid is attached (by aminoacyl-tRNA synthetases). tRNAs cope with the degeneracy of the genetic code in two manners: having more than one tRNA (with a specific anti-codon) for a particular amino acid; and 'wobble' base-pairing, i.e. permitting non-standard base-pairing at the 3rd anti-codon position. Lineage: Bacteria; Bacillati; Bacillota; Clostridia; Peptostreptococcales; Peptostreptococcaceae. The record is from RNAcentral.